UACAGAGGCCACGAGCGUUAGGCGGAAUCACUGGGCUUAAAGCGUGUGUAGGUGGAUCGGUAAGUACCUUGUGAAAUCCCACGACUCAAUCGUGGAACUGCUUGGUAUACUGCCAGUCUUGAGGCACUCAGGGGCAAGCGGAACAGAUGGUGGAGCGGUGAAAUGCGUAGAUAUCAUCUGGAACGCCAAUGGUGAAGACAGCUUGCUGGGGGUGUUCUGACACUGAGACACGAAAGCCAGGGGAGCAAACGGG
RNAcentral lists this ribosomal RNA (253 nucleotides) under uncultured bacterium. Its description in RNAcentral is "partial 16S ribosomal RNA". It matches the Rfam family "Bacterial small subunit ribosomal RNA", at positions 524 to 776 of the family's 1533-position model. The record is from RNAcentral.